UAUAAAAUGUUGUAACCUUGCAUAAAGAAUUUUGAUUUCUUAGGUAAUAGUCAAUUCUAUUUUUUAUAA
RNAcentral lists this transfer RNA (69 nucleotides) under Bambusiphaga furca. Its description in RNAcentral is "tRNA-Gln". Lineage: Eukaryota; Metazoa; Arthropoda; Insecta; Hemiptera; Delphacidae. The record is from RNAcentral.